UGCGUCUUAUCAUAAUUCAUGGGAGAUCUAAACGGUGUCGUGCUGAUUGUUUAGAGCAGAAGCGAAGCAUAGUCUCAAUCUCUCUCUCUCUCUCUCUCUCUCUCUCUCUCUCCGUGUCUUCACCAGCAGCCGGUUCGUUACUGCGCUGCAACUGCAAACAGAAGAGCAGUACAACUUCGAUGCGAGCUAAAACCGGGGUUGUAGGAGUUGAGUUGCUUGCAGGAAAAUGCAUCUUCCUUUGACAUUGCACAGGCAUCUAAUAUGUGCUAAAUCGUCCCAGUCCUGUAUAAAGCUGUGAAGCGGAAGGCAAAUUUUGAACAAAGUAACAAACUUAAAGGAAGGCUUCAGACAUUAAGGAAGGAAGCUGCUGAGAGAAGCCCCGAGGACUAAAGAGAAGAAUUUUAUGUGAGCUUAACAAACAAAGUGGGAGGUGUUGUCUGAAACUCUCCUAGAUUCUGAAUUUAGAUUCUAUACAACUUUAUGUUGUGGCGUAGUGAACAUAGAAUGGCCUUUGAGGGAUGAUCUGGAUUGCAGUUCAUUGCAUAUUGUGCUAUGAUAUAGUGUCUGUCAUUUUUUCUUGGGAGGGAAAAAUAAUUUGAUUCCCUGUAGAAAGCUUGUAAAAGAUCAUGAACUUUAGAUUAAUCUGUUUGUACAAUUGCUGGGAGACAUUAAUUGUGUCAUUUCAGGUUAUUAAUUGAGUUAUAAAUAUCAUUUGCUAUGGUUCCAUUUGUUGAAUAGAA
This is a long non-coding RNA of Hevea brasiliensis (rubber tree), 740 nucleotides long. RefSeq lists it as uncharacterized. Lineage: Eukaryota; Viridiplantae; Streptophyta; Magnoliopsida; Malpighiales; Euphorbiaceae. The record is from RefSeq and is a predicted model, not a curated record. The transcript has 3 exons.